RNAcentral lists this ribosomal RNA (492 nucleotides) under uncultured bacterium. Its description in RNAcentral is "partial 16S ribosomal RNA". It matches the Rfam family "Bacterial small subunit ribosomal RNA", at positions 29 to 507 of the family's 1533-position model. The record is from RNAcentral.
AGUGAACGCUGGCGGUAGGCCUAACACAUGCAAGUCGAACGGCAGCACAGUAAGAGCUUGCUCUUACGGGUGGCGGGUGGCGGACGGGUGAGGAAUACAUCGGAAUCUACUUUUUCGUGGGGGGUAACGUAGGGAAACUUACGCUAAUACCGCAUACGACCUACGGGUGAAAGCAGGGGAUCUUCGGACCUUGCGCGAUUGAAUGAGCCGAUGUCGGAUUAGCUAGUUGGCGGGGUAAAGGCCCACCAAGGCGACGAUCCGUAGCUGGUCUGAGAGGAUGAUCAGCCACACUGGAACUGAGACACGGUCCAGACUCCUACGGGAGGCAGCAGUGGGGAAUAUUGGACAAUGGGCGCAAGCCUGAUCCAGCCAUACCGCGUGGGUGAAGAAGGCCUUCGGGUUGUAAAGCCCUUUUGUUGGGAAAGAAAAGCAGCAGGUUAAUACCCCGCUGUUCUGACGGUACCCAAAGAAUAAGCACCGGCUAACUUCGUG